This 448-nucleotide ribosomal RNA is filed under the name uncultured Planctomycetota bacterium. RNAcentral's name for it is "bacterial SSU rRNA". It matches the Rfam family "Bacterial small subunit ribosomal RNA", at positions 217 to 656 of the family's 1533-position model. Lineage: Bacteria; Pseudomonadati; Planctomycetota. The record is from RNAcentral.
GCUUAGAGAGGGGUCAAUGUCCUAUCAGCUAGUUGGUAAGGUAAUGGCUUACCAAGGCUAAGACGGGUAGCCGGCCUGAGAGGGUGGUCGGCCACACUGGGACUGAGACACUGCCCAGACUCCUACGGGAGGCUGCAGUCGAGAAUCUUUCGCAAUGCCCGAAAGGGUGACGAAGCGACGCCGCGUGUGGGAAGAAGGCCUUCGGGUUGUAAACCACUGUCGGGAGUUAAGAAAUGUAAGGGUGUUAAUAGCAUCCUUACUUGACUAAGGCUCCGGAGGAAGCCACGGCUAACUCUGUGCCAGCAGCCGCGGUAAUACAGAGGCGGCAAGCGUUGUUCGGAAUUAUUGGGCGUAAAGAGCACGUAGGCGGCUUUGUAAGUCAGUUGUGAAAGCCUUCCGCUUAACGGAAGAACAGCAUCUGAUACUGCAAGGCUAGAGUACGGAAGGG